CUAACGGCAGCUACCAUGCAAGUCGCACGAGAAUCUUGGGCAACUGAGAGAGUAAAGUGGCGCACGGGUGAGUAACGCGUGGGUAACCUGCCCUCGGAUGGGGGAUAACUCUUCGAAAGGAGAGUUAAUACCGCAUAACAUCCUUUUCUCCUCGGGGGAGAGGAUCAAAGGUGGCCUCUGCAUGCAAGCUACUGUCUGAGGAUGGGCCCGCGUACCAUUAGCUAGUUGGUAGGGUAACGGCCUACCAAGGCUGCGAUGGUUAGCUGGUCUGAGAGGAUGACCAGCCACACUGGAACUGAGACACGGUCCAGACUCCUACGGGAGGCAGCAGUGGGGAAUCUUGCGCAAUGGGGGAAACCCUGACGCAGCAACGCCGCGUGGGUGAUGAAGGCCUUCGGGUCGUAAAGCCCUGUCAGGUGGAAAGAAUUGCAUCGGCGUGAACAAUACCGAUGCUUGACGGUACCACCGGAGGAAGCACCGGCUAACUCCGUGCCAGCAGCCGCGGUAAUACGGAGGGUGCAAGCGUUGUUCGGAAUUACUGGGCGUAAAGCGCGUGCAGGCGGUUGGGCAAGUCAGAUGUGAAAGCCUUCCGCUUAACGGAAGAAGUGCAUUUGAAACUACCCAGCUAGAGUUCGGAAGAGGAGAGUGGAAUUCCUGGUGUAGAGGUGAAAUUCGUAGAUAUCAGGAGGAACACCAGUGGCGAAGGCGGCUCUCUGGUCCGAUACUGACGCUGAGAUGCGAAAGCGUGGGGAGCAAACAGGAUUAGAUACCCUGGUAGUCCACGCCGUAAACGAUGGGCACUAGGUGUAGGAGGUAUUGACCCCUUCUGUGCCGAAGCUAACGCAUUAAGUGCCCCGCCUGGGGAGUACGGCCGCAAGGUUAAAACUCAAAGGAAUUGACGG
RNAcentral lists this ribosomal RNA (902 nucleotides) under uncultured delta proteobacterium. RNAcentral's name for it is "bacterial SSU rRNA". It matches the Rfam family "Bacterial small subunit ribosomal RNA", at positions 36 to 916 of the family's 1533-position model. The record is from RNAcentral. Lineage: Bacteria; Deltaproteobacteria.